CCCAGGUCGCCAUGGCAACUAGAAAUUUUGUCCUGGCGCCUGGGAUUUGCCAGCUAUAUAGUUAAUGUGGCCGCUGGAGCUUUAAAGGCGGCCGUCGCGGGGAAUAUUGGAGCCUGCUGCACUGGAGAGAAUGGAGACGGCCGGCCGCCCUGGGUAGCAUGCAAACGGCCAGUCGAGGCAGCAAGGAAGCAGUCGGUCACCCUGAGGAGCAUGGAGGCGGGCAGCUGAGGCAGCAUGGAGCCGGCCGCCCGCAGUGCAUUGUAGGCAACGUACGAGGGAGCAGUACUUUUCCUGUAGCUCCUCUCUGCUCC
Pelobates cultripes (western spadefoot toad) is the source of this 311-nucleotide non-coding RNA. The record is from the annotation of a GenBank genome assembly. Lineage: Eukaryota; Metazoa; Chordata; Amphibia; Anura; Pelobatidae.